GAGUUUGAUCCUGGCUCAGAUUGAACGCUGGCGGCAGGCCUAACACAUGCAAGUCGAGCGGAAACGAGUUAACUGAACCUUCGGGGAACGUUAACGGCGUCGAGCGGCGGACGGGUGANUAAUGCCUGGGAAAUUGCCCUGAUGUGGGGGAUAACCAUUGGAAACGAUGGCUAAUACCGCAUAAUAGCUUCGGCUCAAAGAGGGGGACCUUCGGGCCUCUCGCGUCAGGAUAUGCCCAGGUGGGAUUAGCUAGUUGGUGAGGUAAUGGCUCACCAAGGCGACGAUCCCUAGCUGGUCUGAGAGGAUGAUCAGCCACACUGGAACUGAGACACGGUCCAGACUCCUACGGGAGGCAGCAGUGGGGAAUAUUGCACAAUGGGCGCAAGCCUGAUGCAGCCAUGCCGCGUGUAUGAAGAAGGCCUUCGGGUUGUAAAGUACUUUCAGCAGUGAGGAAGGUGGGUAUGUUAAUAGCAUACUCAUUUGACGUUAGCUGCAGAAGAAGCACCGGCUAACUCCGUGCCAGCAGCCGCGGUAAUACGGAGGGUGCGAGUGUUAAUCGGAAUUACUGGGCGUAAAGCGCAUGCAGGUGGUUUGUUAAGUCAGAUGUGAAAGCCCGGGGCUCAACCUCGGAAUUGCAUUUGAAACUGGCAAACUAGAGUACUGUANAGGGGGGGUAGAAUUUUCAGGUGUAGCGGUGAAUUGCGUAGAGAUCU
RNAcentral lists this ribosomal RNA (713 nucleotides) under uncultured bacterium. RNAcentral describes it as "bacterial SSU rRNA". It matches the Rfam family "Bacterial small subunit ribosomal RNA", at positions 9 to 699 of the family's 1533-position model. The record is from RNAcentral.